RNAcentral lists this transfer RNA (74 nucleotides) under Nocardioides perillae. It matches the Rfam family "tRNA". Rfam says of the family: Transfer RNA (tRNA) molecules are approximately 80 nucleotides in length. The record is from Rfam by way of RNAcentral. Lineage: Bacteria; Bacillati; Actinomycetota; Actinomycetes; Propionibacteriales; Nocardioidaceae.
GCCCCCGUGCCCCAACUGGCAGAGGGAGCCGCCUUAAAAGCGGCCAGCUGUGGGUUCGAGUCCCACCGGGGGCA